AGCGUGCGUAGGCGGCUUGGUAGGUGAGAUGUGAAAGCCCACGGCUCAACCGUGGAAUUGCGUUUCAAACCCCCAAGCUCGAGGAAGAUAGGGGUGAUGGGAACUUAUGGUGGAGCGGUGAAAUGCGUUGAUAUCAUAGGGAACACCGGUGGCGAAAGCGCAUCACUGGAUCUUUUCUGACGCUGAGGCACGAAAGCUAGGGUAGCGAACGGGAUUAGAUACCCCGGUAGUCCUAGCCGUAAACGAUGAACACUGGGUUGAGGGGACUUCCACAUCCUCUCGGCCGUAGCGAAAGCGUUAAGUGUUCCGCCUGGGGAGUAUGGUCGCAAGGCUGAAACUCAAAGGAUUUGACGGGGGCUCACACAAAUCACUAGUGAAUUCGCGGCCGCCUGCAGGUCGACCAUAUGGGAGAGCUCCCAACGCGUUGGAUGCAUAGCUUUGAGUAUUCUAUAGUGUCACCUAAAUAGCUUGGCGUAAUCAUGGUCAUA
This 488-nucleotide ribosomal RNA is filed under the name uncultured Planctomycetota bacterium. RNAcentral's name for it is "bacterial SSU rRNA". It matches the Rfam family "Bacterial small subunit ribosomal RNA", at positions 564 to 1287 of the family's 1533-position model. Lineage: Bacteria; Pseudomonadati; Planctomycetota. The record is from RNAcentral.